RNAcentral lists this long non-coding RNA (314 nucleotides) under Citrus sinensis (sweet orange). RNAcentral's name for it is "long non-coding RNA (CSIN_LNC000974)". Lineage: Eukaryota; Viridiplantae; Streptophyta; Magnoliopsida; Sapindales; Rutaceae. The record is from RNAcentral.
UUCGUUAUCCUUCAACCAGAAAAAUAGGUUUAGUUCUUCAUAGAGAGAAGAGAAAAAUUAAGAUCUAGGGUUUAUUUCUUUUCCUCCAAUCCAAAAUCCCCCCCUUUUUCACAAUAGAUUCCUCCCUUAAAUACUCUCUCUCUCUUCUCUUUUAGAAUUCUAUUUAAAAUAAAAUACUAAUAUCUGAAAUAUUAAAUUCGUAAUUACAAAAAUAACCAAAAAUACAAAACACGUUAAACUAAAACUGCAGGUCCGCAGUUGACAGCACGCGCCCACGCCUUAUCAACAAAGUUCUUCUGACGCUCAUAAUUUCU